This 381-nucleotide ribosomal RNA is filed under the name uncultured bacterium. Its description in RNAcentral is "bacterial SSU rRNA". It matches the Rfam family "Bacterial small subunit ribosomal RNA", at positions 30 to 418 of the family's 1533-position model. The record is from RNAcentral.
AUUGAACGCUGGCGGCAUGCCUUACACAUGCAAGUCGAACGGCAGCACGGGAGCAAUCCUGGUGGCGAGUGGCGAACGGGUGAGUAAUAUAUCGGAACGUGCCCAGUCGUGGGGAUAACGUAGCGAAGCUACGCUAAUACCGCAUACGAUCUAUGGAUGAAAGCGGGGGAUCGCAAGACCUCGCGCGAUUGGAGCGGCCGAUAUCAGAUUAGGUAGUUGGUGAGGUAAAGGCUCACCAAGCCGACGAUCUGUAGCUGGUCUGAGAGGACGACCAGCCANACUGGGACUGAGACACGGCCCAGACUCCUACGGGAGGCAGCAGUGGGAAUAUUGGACAAUGGCGAAGCUGAUCAGCCAUGCCGCGUGUGUGAAGAAGGUCUU